Molecule: ribosomal RNA, 404 nt
Filed under: uncultured bacterium
Lineage: Bacteria
Description: bacterial SSU rRNA
Rfam family: Bacterial small subunit ribosomal RNA
Source: RNAcentral
GGGAAUAUUGCACAAUGGGCGGAAGCCUGAUGCAGCGACGCCGCGUGAGGGAUGACGGCCUUCGGGUUGUAAACCUCUUUCAGCAGGGACGAAGCGUAAGUGACGGUACCUGCAGAAGAAGCACCGGCUAACUAUGUGCCAGCAGCCGCGGUAAUACGUAGGGUGCGAGCGUUGUCCGGAAUUACUGGGCGUAAAGAGCUCGUAGGCGGUUUGUCACGUCGUCUGUGAAAUCCUAGGGCUUAACCCUGGACGUGCAGGCGAUACGGGCUGACUUGAGUACUACAGGGGAGACUGGAAUUUCUGGUGUAGCGGUGGAAUGCACAGAUAUCAGGAAGAACACCGAUGGCGAAGGCAGGUCUCUGGGUAGUAACUGACGCUGAGGAGCGAAAGCAUGGGUAGCGAAC